UUUAUCGCCUGUUUACCAAAACUCUACGUGAUCUGAGUUCAGACCGGAUGACCUGUUUACCUAAACAGUUNCUUGAUGAGAACUCGUCCGGAGUNGCNUGNAUGAUUAUACUGUCUCCCCCCCUUANUACUGAAACUGAUCCCCCCGUGAAGAAGCGGGGAUAAACCUAUUAGACGAGAAGACCCUAUGGAGCUUUAAACUAACACCACCUGUCUAUAAACACUUCAUAACAAACAGACAAACCUACGUGCUAGUUUUUGGUUGGGGUGACCGCGGAGCAAAAUAAAACCUCCACGAUGAAAAGACUUUCCCUCUUAAUCCAAGAGCAACAUCUCAAAGAAUUGGCAAACCAACACAACUGAUCCAAAUAACUUUGAUCAACGAACCAAGUUACCCUAGGGAUAACAGCGCAAUCCAUUUCAAGAGCUCCUAUCGACAAAUGGGUUUACGACCUCGAUGUUGGAUCAGGGUACCCCAGUGGUGCAGCCGCUACUAAAGGUUCGUUUGUUCAACGAUUAAAACCCUACNUGAUCUGAGUUCAGACAGGAGU
RNAcentral lists this ribosomal RNA (550 nucleotides) under Chiasmocleis hudsoni (Hudson's humming frog). RNAcentral describes it as "Syncope hudsoni (Hudson's humming frog) partial 16S ribosomal RNA". The stretch from base 143 to 550 matches the Rfam family "Bacterial large subunit ribosomal RNA", at positions 2049 to 2622 of the family's 2925-position model. The record is from RNAcentral. Lineage: Eukaryota; Metazoa; Chordata; Amphibia; Anura; Microhylidae.